AGUCAGGGUUGCAUGAAGAAUACUUCACCUGAGUUUGAGGAGUUUGCAGCCACUUUCAGGGCCAGGAGGAAGUCACUGGUCUCCUCUGCAAAGUUACAAAGUUUCCAAACGCCCGCCUGGCCAGACUUUUCCCGGCUGCUCCUGGAGAUGUUUGGAAGUGAACGGCAGGUGUUGUGAUUGUUUUGCGAAGCACCUUGUGCAGCCCAGAAGAGAAUCUUUACUUCCUCCACGCCUUCCAGUCCAGGGCCAUGCCAGUGUGUGCAGACAAUGGUUGGCGGGGACUGACCACAGACUCAGUCCCACGCAGCUUUAGAUACAUUCAAAAGGUCGUCUUGACCUUGGACCUGGGGAUGCUUCAGAGCCUCUGCCACCUGUUGGGGGCUUCUCAGGCAUCCAUGGUUCCACUGACACAGGCAAAGUCUAGAUUCCUCCGUGUGGUGCCCUUGGCCUUCUAGGACCUGGACUGCCUGGCCUUCAGACCUCCCUGUACUGGCCUUGGAGGCCCUCCCUUCCCCCAGCUCAUUGCCGCAGCCCCCAGGACCACAGUGUGCUGUGUUUCCAGGUGUUUGGGAGAGGUGGUCUCCCUGCCUAGCAAGCCGGCUCCACCCCUCGCCCUCCUGAGUCCACCAUGGGGCCCACGACUCUCAGGCAGGUCUUUCUGUCCUGUCUUUGUCCUGGUGGACACCUGCCAGCAACUUACCACCCUCCUCCGAGAGGCUGCUUUAGGCUCUGGGUGUUCAGCAUCUUUAGUUUCCGGAAUAUACAAGACACAGAAGCAGGAAGCUGGAGCUUGAGGAGAAUGAUGUCCCUGCCUUGGGGCUGGUUGUUGACCGAAGACAGGACAGAAGGAGCAGCCCCUUGCUGGGAUCUCCCAUUCGAUGAGACCAACCAGAAAUGGAGAUGCUGGACUAGGUGGAGAGGCUGAAGAAAGUAACCAAGCAGUGGGGCUUCUGUGGAUGCAGCCUGCAUUUCCCCCUGAGCAACGGCUGGUACGAAGCCCAGCAGCCCAUUUUCACGAUCCUGCUGCCUCUGUUUAAUCAGAAAAUGUCCCUGUCCUGGACAUCUUGGUGUGUGGCUUUAUUUCCAACUGGAUGCCUCCUUUUCUCUAAACUUGAAGCGCCUGAACAGCCCCACAUUUGGGGUAACUGUCCCUUGCUCUUUGCUUGUAUUUCCCUGACCUUGAAAGAGCCAUUUUCCAGGACUGUCACUAAUGGAUCUUCACGCAAUGACAAUAAAAUAUCCCAGCGCUCGAGAAAAGAAAGGAGA
RNAcentral lists this long non-coding RNA (1266 nucleotides) under Bos indicus x Bos taurus (hybrid cattle). Its description in RNAcentral is "lncRNA (ENSBIXG00005019824.1)". Lineage: Eukaryota; Metazoa; Chordata; Mammalia; Artiodactyla; Bovidae. The record is from RNAcentral.